Molecule: ribosomal RNA, 497 nt
Filed under: uncultured bacterium
Lineage: Bacteria
Description: partial 16S ribosomal RNA
Rfam family: Bacterial small subunit ribosomal RNA
Source: RNAcentral
GAUGAACGCUGGCGGCGUGCCUAAUACAUGCAAGUCGAGCGAACAGACGAGGAGCUUGCUCCUCUGACGUUAGCGGCGGACGGGUGAGUAACACGUGGAUAACCUACCUAUAAGACUGGGAUAACUUCGGGAAACCGGAGCUAAUACCGGAUAAUAUAUUGAACCGCAUGGUUCAAUAGUGAAAGACGGUUUUGCUGUCACUUCUAGAUGGAUCCGCGCCGCAUUAGCUGGUUGGUAAGGUAACGGCUUACCAAGGCAACGAGGCGUAGCCGACCUGAGAGGGGGGUCGGCCACACUGGAACUGAGACACGGUCCAGACUCCUACGGGAGGCAGCAGUAGGGAAUCUUCCGCAAUGGGCGAAAGCCUGACGGAGCAACGCCGCGUGAGUGAUGAAGGUCUUCGGAUCGUAAAACUCUGUUAUUAGGGAAGAACAAAUGUGUAAGUAACUAUGCACGUCUUGACGGUACCUAAUCAGAAAGCCACGGCUAACUACGUG